This 263-nucleotide unclassified non-coding RNA is filed under the name uncultured Lactarius. Its description in RNAcentral is "sequence contains ITS2". Lineage: Eukaryota; Fungi; Basidiomycota; Agaricomycetes; Russulales; Russulaceae. The record is from RNAcentral.
AAUUCUCAACCUUCCCGGUUUUCUUUUGGACACCGAAGGAGGCUUGGACUCUGGAGGCCUUUGCUGGCGUCUCUCUCUUCUUGAGAGCCAGCUCCUCUUAAACGAAUUAGCGGGGUCCUCUUUGCCGAUCCUCGAUAUGUGAUAAGAUGUUUCCAUGACUUGGUUUCUGGCUCUGUUGCCCUUGGGACCCGCUUCCAACCGUCUCGACGAGACAACGUUUGGGCGUGUCUCCCUUCUCGGGAAGCACUCCCAACCCCACGAAC